UACGAACGCUGGCGGCGUGCUUAACACAUGCAAGUCGAGCGGUAAGGCCCUUUCGGGGGUACGACGAGCGGCGAACGGGUGAGUAACACGUGGGUGACCUGCCCUCAGCUCUGGGAUAAGCCUGGGAAACCGGGUCUAAUACUGGAUAUGACUCCAUGACGCAUGUUGUGGGGUGGAAAGCCUUGUGCGGCUGAGGAUGGGCCCGCGGCCUAUCAGCUUGUUGGUGGGGUGAUGGCCUACCAAGGCGACGACGGGUAGCCGGCCUGAGAGGGCGACCGGCCACACUGGGACUGAGACACGGCCCAGACUCCUACGGGAGGCAGCAGUGGGGAAUCUUGCGCAAUGGGCGAAAGCCUGACGCAGCGACGCCGCGUGAGGGAUGACGGCCU
RNAcentral lists this ribosomal RNA (389 nucleotides) under uncultured bacterium. Its description in RNAcentral is "bacterial SSU rRNA". It matches the Rfam family "Bacterial small subunit ribosomal RNA", at positions 29 to 417 of the family's 1533-position model. The record is from RNAcentral.